GUUUCAAAAUGUUAGCCUCGAAGAACCAUUAAAAUUGGAGAAGAUUUUUCAAGAUUAUAAAACAUCGGUUCGCCCCGAUAUUUCCAGUGAUCAAACGGGAGGCGAACCAAAAACUCAAUCCGGUUUGAAAUGGAAAAUUAUUAUUAAACAUAAAAAUGAUAAAGAGUCUACUAAUCCUUGCAGCGGCCAAUGUUUAAGUGAUUCUGAAUACUGAAAUAAUUGUGUUUGUCCUUGUGCGCG
Nicrophorus vespilloides is the source of this 240-nucleotide long non-coding RNA. RefSeq lists it as uncharacterized. NCBI's taxonomy places the organism in Eukaryota, Metazoa, Arthropoda, Insecta, Coleoptera, Silphidae. The record is from RefSeq and is a predicted model, not a curated record. The transcript has 3 exons.